This 29-nucleotide non-coding RNA is filed under the name Cricetulus griseus (Chinese hamster). The record is from RNAcentral. Lineage: Eukaryota; Metazoa; Chordata; Mammalia; Rodentia; Cricetidae.
AGACUGGAAAGGCGGACGGCAGUAGCAGG